AUAGCUACUUUUUCUAAUUUAAGAACCAAAAGUGUCUGGUCAUAAAAGUAAGAUUAAAAUGCCACCUCUACCGCAUUCAUCAGGUAAAGGCAGAAAAGAUCUUAUUGCCAAAAAACACAAAUCUCAGAAGGUGUUGGUUCCUACUUCAUCAGCAUUAUGCAAUAACGGAAGAUUUCAGCAUUACCAGAUUUCAGCAGUAGCAGUAGCUCUAAACGAUUGUCUCUUGCAAGGAAUGAGAACCUUUCAACUAAUAAUACAGAUACAAUAAAUAUAUAUGUUGCAUCAUUUCAAACAACUAUUUCAAAGUCGAAGAAGUAUACAGAAAAAGAUAUCAAACAUAGUAUUGGUGUGACUUUAAAACACGCUCCAUUGCGAAAAGGUGGUUUAAAAAAUCCAAGUUAUGACAACGAUUAAAAUCUCAAGAA
Molecule: non-coding RNA, 425 nt
Organism: Hydra vulgaris (swiftwater hydra)
Lineage: Eukaryota; Metazoa; Cnidaria; Hydrozoa; Anthoathecata; Hydridae
Source: RefSeq, a predicted model, not a curated record